GAUAUGUCUUUUUGCGGCAGGUUCUCGUUUUUAUCCCCCGCAAACAGUGGGCCGGUUUUUUUGUGUCGAUCCCUUCCCCCUAUUUUCGUUGGGGUCUCGACCCGCGAACCCGGCGAAGAAUUAAAAUGGGUUGUUGGGGGCUUAAUCUUAAAAUUGUCCAAGGUAAACUUCUUGUAUUGAUGAAAAAUUAACUCCUGCCAAAGCUUCUGCGAGGGAGGUUUUCAUAAACCAAGAACAAAAGUAAGGGGAGGGAAAACAAUAAGAAACCGUCGUAGUCUUAACCAUAAAGAAUGCCAACAACCGAUUAGGAGACGUUGAAUACAAAACACCACCAUCCGUUGCGGGCGUCCUUGCCGUCUCGGUUUCGGCCGGGGCGCGGGGAUGGCUUGGCCGAUGGCACCGGUGAAUGACUCCCCUAAACCGCGGGAGAA
Molecule: ribosomal RNA, 431 nt
Filed under: Acanthamoeba genotype T4
Lineage: Eukaryota; Discosea; Longamoebia; Acanthamoebidae
Description: partial 18S ribosomal RNA
Source: RNAcentral